CAGCGUAUAGAAAUAGUUGCUUUGCAUGACGUUUUAAAAUACAUAUUGCAGACUGUGGGAAUGUAAUCCACCAGGAGUUGGUGUGAAGUUAUAUGCAAACAUGGAUUAUACGCAAGAAAGUAUGUAAGCAAUGUGAAUGGUGCCUAAACUACAUCAUACACAGCUAUUGAUUCACAACCCUGGGAAUCAUCCGAGCCCACUCGUAUUAAUGUGUCUUCAGAGCGAGUUCAUGAAACUGUGACGGUGGACACUUCAUGGUUUGUGUAAAAAUUUAGGCACAGUUAGAGCAGCAACUUCGGCGUUUCUUUUUUUUAUAUUCACCGAUUUCAAUAAAACUUUA
Rhipicephalus microplus (southern cattle tick) is the source of this 340-nucleotide long non-coding RNA. RefSeq lists it as uncharacterized. The record is from RefSeq and is a predicted model, not a curated record. Lineage: Eukaryota; Metazoa; Arthropoda; Arachnida; Ixodida; Ixodidae.